AGCCGCGUACGGGGCGGCGCUCGGCGGCGCCCGGGCCGCCGUGCUGACCCGGCUCUGGCGGGCACUGGCGUUCGAGCCGCUGCCGUGGGUG
Molecule: transfer RNA, 91 nt
Filed under: Streptomyces toxytricini
Lineage: Bacteria; Bacillati; Actinomycetota; Actinomycetes; Kitasatosporales; Streptomycetaceae
Also listed under: 1 other name
Description: tRNA-Pro
Source: RNAcentral